This 247-nucleotide ribosomal RNA is filed under the name uncultured bacterium. RNAcentral describes it as "partial 16S ribosomal RNA". It matches the Rfam family "Bacterial small subunit ribosomal RNA", at positions 57 to 305 of the family's 1533-position model. The record is from RNAcentral.
GCAAGUCGAACGGAAACAUGUCUAGCUUGCUAGAUGAUGUCGAGUGGCGGACGGGUGAGUAAUACUUAGGAACAUGCCUUUGGGUGGGGGAUAACUAUUGGAAACGAUAGCUAAUACCGCAUGAUGUCUACGGACCAAAGUGGGGACUUGUUCCUCACGCCCAGAGAGUGGCCUAAGCGAGAUUAGCUUGUUGGUGAGGUAAUGGCUCACCAAGGCAACGAUCCCUAGCUGGUUUGAGAGGAUGAUC